CUUGUGUAUUUUCUUAUUUC
Molecule: microRNA, 20 nt
Filed under: Corchorus olitorius
Lineage: Eukaryota; Viridiplantae; Streptophyta; Magnoliopsida; Malvales; Malvaceae
Description: bta-miR-23
Source: RNAcentral